GCACGGGUGAGUAACGCGUGGGAACCUGUCAUGGAGUGGGGAACAACCACUGGAAACGGUGGCUAAUACCGCAUGAGCCCUGAGGGGCAAAGGUCGCAAGACCGCUUUGUGAGGGGCCCGCGUCCGAUUAGCUAGUUGGUGGGGUAAUGGCCUACCAAAGCUGCGAUCGGUAGCUGGUCUGAGAGGAUGAUCAGCCACACUGGGACUGAGACACGGCCCAGACUCCUACGGGAGGCAGCAGUGGGGAAUAUUGGACAAUGGGCGAAAGCCUGAUCCAGCAAUGCCGCGUGAGUGAAGAAGGCCUUAGGGUUGUAAAGCUCUUUCGCCUGCGACGAUGAUGACGGUAGCAGGAGAAGAAGCCCCGGCUAAUUCCGUGCCAGCAGCCGCGGUAAUACGGAAGGGGCUAGCGUUGUUCGGAAUUACUGGGCGUAAAGCGCGCGUAGGCGGCUUGGCAAGUGAGGCGUGAAAGUCCUGGGCUCAACCUGGGGACGGCGCUUCAGACUGUUUGGCUUGAGUCCGGAAGAGGGUGGUGGAAUUCCGAGUGUAGAGGUGAAAUUCGUAGAUAUUCGGAGGAACACCGGUGGCGAAGGCGGCCACCUGGUCCGGAACUGACGCUGAAGUGCGAAAGCGUGGGGAGCAAACAGGAUUAGAUACCCUGGUAGUCCACGCUGUAAACGAUGGGUGCUAGAUGUUGGGAGGCUUGCUUCUCGGUGUCGUAGCUAACGCGUUAAGCGCCCCGCCUGGGGAGUACGGCUGCAAGGUUAAAACUCAAAG
Molecule: ribosomal RNA, 774 nt
Filed under: uncultured bacterium
Lineage: Bacteria
Description: bacterial SSU rRNA
Rfam family: Bacterial small subunit ribosomal RNA
Source: RNAcentral